GCCUUCGGGAACUGUGAGACAGGUGCUGCAUGGCUGUCGUCAGCUCGUGUUGUGAAAUGUUGGGUUAAGUCCCGCAACGAGCGCAACCCUUAUCCUUUGUUGCCAGCGGUCCGGCCGGGAACUCAAAGGAGACUGCCAGUGAUAAACUGGAGGAAGGUGGGGAUGACGUCAAGUCAUCAUGGCCCUUACGACCAGGGCUACACACGUGCUACAAUGGCGCAUACAAAGAGAAGCGACCUCGCGAGAGCAAGCGGACCUCAUAAAGUGCGUCGUAGUCCGGAUUGGAGUCUGCAACUCGACUCCAUGAAGUCGGAAUCGCUAGUAAUCGUGGAUCAGAAUGCCACGGUGAAUACGUUCCCGGGCCUUGUACACACCGCCCGUCACACCAUGGGAGUGGGUUGCAAAAGAAGUAGGUAGCUUAACCUUCGGGAGGGCGCUUACCACUUUGUGAUUCAUGACUGGGGUGAAGUCGUAACAAGGUAACCGUAGGGGAACCUGCGGUUGGAUCAC
This 510-nucleotide ribosomal RNA is filed under the name Escherichia coli. Its description in RNAcentral is "bacterial SSU rRNA". It matches the Rfam family "Bacterial small subunit ribosomal RNA", at positions 1016 to 1526 of the family's 1533-position model. Lineage: Bacteria; Pseudomonadati; Pseudomonadota; Gammaproteobacteria; Enterobacterales; Enterobacteriaceae. The record is from RNAcentral.